RNAcentral lists this ribosomal RNA (165 nucleotides) under uncultured bacterium. RNAcentral's name for it is "partial 16S rRNA". It matches the Rfam family "Bacterial small subunit ribosomal RNA", at positions 355 to 511 of the family's 1533-position model. The record is from RNAcentral.
UAGGGAAUCUUCCACAAUGGGCGCAAGCCUGACCGAGCAACGCCGCGUGAGUGAAGAAGGUCUUCGGAUCGUAAAACUCUGUUGUAAGAGAAGAACGUGUGUGAGAGUGGAAAGUUCACACAGUGACGGUAACUUACCAGAAAGGGACGGCUAACUACGUGCCAG